AUUGAACGCUGGCGGCAGGCCUAACACAUGCAAGUCGGGCGGGCGGCGGACGGGUGAGUAAUGUAUGGGGAUCUGCCUGAUGGAGGGGGAUAACUACUGGACACGGUAGCUAAUACCGCAUACCAUCAGAUGAACCCAUAUGGGAUUAGCUUGUAGGUGGGGUAAAGGCUUACCUAGGCGACGAUCCGUAGCUGGUCUGAGAGGAUGAUCAGCCACACUGGAACUGAGACACGGUCCAGACUCCUACGGGAGGCAGCAGUGGGGAAUAUUGGACAAUGGGCGCAAGCCUGAUGCAGCCAUGCCGCGUGUAUGAAGAAGGUCUUCGGGUUGUAAAGUACUUUCAGUCGGGAGGCGUUACCGACAGAAGAAGCACCGGCUAACUCCGUGCCAGCAGCCGCGGUAAUAC
RNAcentral lists this ribosomal RNA (406 nucleotides) under uncultured bacterium. RNAcentral's name for it is "partial 16S ribosomal RNA". It matches the Rfam family "Bacterial small subunit ribosomal RNA", at positions 30 to 526 of the family's 1533-position model. The record is from RNAcentral.